AUGGCCUUUUGGUACUCAAUAAAAGGUCUGGCCUGCCCACUGACAAUAAAGGGCUGCAGUAAUUUGACUGUACAAAGGUAGCACAAUCAUUAGUCUUUUAAUUGUGGACUGGUAUGAAAGGUUAGACAAGUAGAUACUGUCUUAGACUUAAUUAUUGAAUUUGAUUUUUCCGUUAAAAAGCGGAGAUACAACUAAAAGACAAGAAGACCCUUAUAAACUUAAUUUGAAUGGUUUAUUGCUUUUUUUAUUAAGAACAUAAAAUAGUUUAUUCGAGUUUAGUUGGGGCGACGGAUAUAGAGUAUCUAAAGUAUUAAUAAAUAAAUAUUAUUAAAUUGAGCUUGUGAGCCUGUCGUAUGGCUAAUAGAAUAAGUUACUAAAGGGAUAACAGCGUGAUGUGCUCUGAGAGUUCUUAUUGACGAGUAUGUUUGCGA
This 431-nucleotide ribosomal RNA is filed under the name Cylindroiulus luridus. RNAcentral's name for it is "partial 16S ribosomal RNA". It matches the Rfam family "Bacterial large subunit ribosomal RNA", at positions 1815 to 2523 of the family's 2925-position model. Lineage: Eukaryota; Metazoa; Arthropoda; Diplopoda; Julida; Julidae. The record is from RNAcentral.